This 277-nucleotide ribosomal RNA is filed under the name uncultured bacterium. RNAcentral describes it as "partial 16S ribosomal RNA". It matches the Rfam family "Bacterial small subunit ribosomal RNA", at positions 28 to 304 of the family's 1533-position model. The record is from RNAcentral.
GGUAAACGCUGGCGGCGUGCCUAAAACAUGCAAGUCGAACGCAGCAUCGUCUUCGGAUGGUGGUGAGUGGCAGACGGCUGAGUAACACGUGGGUGACGUACCCGUAGGUGGGGAAUAACUGCCCGAAAGGGUGGCUAAUACCGCAUACGCCUGCAUCUUCGUUGGUGCAGGGAAAGUCUUUUCGGAGACGCCGAUGGAGCGGCCCGCGACCGAUUAGCCAGUUGGUGGGGUAACGGCCUACCAAAGCGACGAUCGGUAGCUGGUCUCAGAGGAUGAU